This 243-nucleotide ribosomal RNA is filed under the name uncultured crenarchaeote. RNAcentral's name for it is "partial 16S ribosomal RNA". It matches the Rfam family "Archaeal small subunit ribosomal RNA", at positions 161 to 384 of the family's 1478-position model. Lineage: Archaea; Thermoproteati; Thermoproteota. The record is from RNAcentral.
UCAUCUCAUCAGGAAGAAGAGAUGGCUUAAAGAAGUGCGGGAGCUUCUUUCGUGCAUCUGCUCCAGGAUGGGACUGCGUCCGAUCAGGCUGUUGGCGGGGUAAUGGCCCACCAAACCAGUAACCGGUACGGGCCUUGAGAGAGGGGGCCCGGAGAUGGACACUGAGAGAAGGGUCCAGGUCCUACGGGGCGCAGCAGGCGCGAAACCUUCGCAAUGCGCGAAAGCGUGACGAGGUUAAUCCGA